UUGAACUCGCUGUGAAGAUGCAGUGUACCCGCGGCAAGACGGAAAGACCCCGUGAACCUUUACUAUAGCUUGACACUGAACAUUGAGCCUUGAUGUGUAGGAUAGGUGGGAGGCUUUGAAGCGUGGACGCCAGUCUGCGUGGAGCCGACCUUGAAAUACCACCCUUUAAUGUUUGAUGUUCUAACGUGGACCCGUAAUCCGGGUUGCGGACAGUGUCUGGUGGGUAGUUUGACUGGGGCGGUCUCCUCCUAAAGAGUAACGGAGGAGCACGAAGGUUGGCUAAUCCUGGUCGGACAUCAGGAGGUUAGUGCAAUGGCAUAAGCCAGCUUGACUGCGAGCGUGACGGCGCGAGCAGGUGCGAAAGCAGGUCAUAGUGAUCCGGUGGUUCUGAAUGGAAGGGCCAUCGCUCAACGGAUAAAAGGUACUCCGGGGAUAACAGGCUGAUACCGCCCAAGAGUUCAUAUCGACGGCGGUGUUUGGCACCUCGAUGUCGGCUCAUCACAUCCUGGGGCUGAAGUAGGUCCCAAGGGUAUGGCUGUUCGCCAUUUAAAGUGGUACGCGAGCUGGGUUUAGAACGUCGUGAGACAGUUCGGUCCCUAUCUGCCGUGGGCGCUGGAGAACUGAGGGGGGCUGCUCCUAGUACGAGAGGACCGGAGUGGACGCAUCACUGGUGUUCGGGUUGUCAUGCCAAUGGCACUGCCCGGUAGCUAAAUGCGGAAGAGAUAAGUGCUGAAAGCAUCUAAGCACGAAACUUGCCCCGA
Molecule: ribosomal RNA, 761 nt
Filed under: Salmonella enterica subsp. enterica serovar Infantis
Lineage: Bacteria; Pseudomonadati; Pseudomonadota; Gammaproteobacteria; Enterobacterales; Enterobacteriaceae
Also listed under: 1 other name
Description: partial 23S ribosomal RNA
Rfam family: Bacterial large subunit ribosomal RNA
Source: RNAcentral